AGCUCCAGUAGCGUAUAUUAAAGUUGUUGCGGUUAAAAAGCUCGUAGUUGGAUUUCUGCUUGGGACGGGUGGUCCCCUUCUUAAGGGUGAAUCUUCUUCGGCCUAGGCAUCUACCUGAUGUGCCGAUUUGUGCUUGAUUGCAUGAUUGGUGUUUUAGGUCAUUUACUUUGAGGAAAUUAGAGUGUUUAUAGCAUGCAAUUGCAUUGAAUAUAUUAGCAUGGGAUAAUAAUAUAAGACUGAGUUUUUAUUUUGUUGGUUUCUAAGAAUUCAGUAAUGAUAAAUAGGGGUUGUCGGGGGUACUUGUAUUAACGCGUCAGAGGUGGAAUUCUUGGAUUGCGUUACGACAAACUACUGCGAAAGCAUUUACCAAGGAUGUUUUCA
Molecule: ribosomal RNA, 381 nt
Filed under: uncultured eukaryote
Lineage: Eukaryota
Description: SSU rRNA
Rfam family: Eukaryotic small subunit ribosomal RNA
Source: RNAcentral